AAAUUGAAGAGUUUGAUCAUGGCUCAGAUUGAACGCUGGCGGCAGGCCUAACACAUGCAAGUCGAACGGUAACAGGAAGCAGCUUGCUGCUUCGCUGACGAGUGGCGGACGGGUGAGUAAUGUCUGGGAAACUGCCUGAUGGAGGGGGAUAACUACUGGAAACGGUAGCUAAUACCGCAUAAUGUCGCAAGACCAAAGAGGGGGACCCUCGGGCCUCUUGCCAUCGGAUGUGCCCAG
Molecule: ribosomal RNA, 237 nt
Filed under: Escherichia coli
Lineage: Bacteria; Pseudomonadati; Pseudomonadota; Gammaproteobacteria; Enterobacterales; Enterobacteriaceae
Description: partial 16S ribosomal RNA
Rfam family: Bacterial small subunit ribosomal RNA
Source: RNAcentral